AGGACGAACGCUGGCGGCGUGCCUAACACAUGCAAGUCGAGCGGGGACAUACGACGGAGUCAAAGUUUCGGAUGGAGACGAAGAUGUAUGUUCUAGCGGCGGACGGGUGAGUAACGCGUGAGCAACCUGUCCCUUACAGGGGGAUAACACAGCGAAAGUUGUACUAAUACCGCAUGAGACCACGGGAGGACAUCCUCCAGGGGUCAAAGGAGCAAUCCGGUAAGGGGUGGGCUCGCGUCCGAUUAGAUAGUUGGUGAGGUAACGGCCCACCAAGUCGACGAUCGGUAGCCGACCUGAGAGGGUGAUCGGCCACAUUGGGGCUGAGACACGGCCCAAACUCCUACGGGAGGCAGCAGUGGGGAAUAUUGGGCAAUGGGGGGAAACCCUGACCCAGCAACGCCGCGUGAGGGAAGAAGGUUUUCGGAUCGUAAACCUCUGUCCUUGGUGAAGAGGAAGAGACGGUAGCCAAGGAGGAAGCCCCGGCUAACUACGUGCCAGCAGCCGC
RNAcentral lists this ribosomal RNA (505 nucleotides) under uncultured bacterium. Its description in RNAcentral is "bacterial SSU rRNA". It matches the Rfam family "Bacterial small subunit ribosomal RNA", at positions 26 to 518 of the family's 1533-position model. The record is from RNAcentral.